This 375-nucleotide ribosomal RNA is filed under the name uncultured bacterium. RNAcentral's name for it is "bacterial SSU rRNA". It matches the Rfam family "Bacterial small subunit ribosomal RNA", at positions 521 to 896 of the family's 1533-position model. The record is from RNAcentral.
UAAUACGUAGGUGGCAAGCGUUGUCCGGAUUUACUGGGCGUAAAGAGCGCGCAGGCGGCUGGUCAAGUCCGAUGUGAAAUCUCCCGGCUUAACUGGGAAACUGCAUCGGAAACUGAUCGGCUUGAAGGUGGGAGAGGGUAGUGGAAUUCCCGGUGUAGUGGUGAAAUGCGUAGAUAUCGGGAGGAACACCAGUGGCGAAGGCGACUACCUGGCCCAUUCUUGACGCUGAGGCGCGAAAGCUAGGGGAGCGAACGGGAUUAGAUACCCCGGUAGUCCUAGCCGUAAACGAUGAAUGCCAGCCGUUAGUGGGUUUACUCACUAGUGGCGCAGCUAACGCUUUAAGCAUUCCGCCUGGGGAGUACGGUCGCAAGAUUA